GAUGAACGCUGGCGGCGUGCCUAAUACAUGCAAGUCGAGCGAACAGACGAGGAGCUUGCUCCUCUGACGUUAGCGGCGGACGGGUGAGUAACACGUGGAUAACCUACCUAUAAGACUGGGAUAACUUCGGGAAACCGGAGCUAAUACCGGAUAAUAUAUUGAACCGCAUGGUUCAAUAGUGAAAGACGGUUUUGCUGUCACUUAUAGAUGGAUCCGCGCCGCAUUAGCUAGUUGGUAAGGUAACGGCUUACUAAGGCAACGAUGCGUAGCCGACCUGAGAGGGUGAUCGGCCACACUGGAACUGAGACACGGUCCAGACUCCUACGGGAGGCAGCAGUAGGGAAUCUUCCGCAAUGGGCGAAAGCCUGACGGAGCAACGCCGCGUGAGUGAUGAAGGUCUUCGGAUCGUAAAUCUCUGUUAUUAGGGAAGAACAAAUGUGUAAGUAACUAUGCACGUCUUGACGGUACCUAAUCAGAAAGCCACGGCUAACUACGUG
RNAcentral lists this ribosomal RNA (497 nucleotides) under uncultured bacterium. RNAcentral's name for it is "partial 16S ribosomal RNA". It matches the Rfam family "Bacterial small subunit ribosomal RNA", at positions 28 to 507 of the family's 1533-position model. The record is from RNAcentral.